Molecule: non-coding RNA, 122 nt
Organism: Thalassolituus sp. HI0120
Lineage: Bacteria; Pseudomonadati; Pseudomonadota; Gammaproteobacteria; Oceanospirillales; Oceanospirillaceae
Source: Rfam
GCAUCCCACUGUUAAUGUGCACGGUGGUGAUGUAUUCGACUGCACAUUCAUCGGAGUAUAGACAGAUGGCAUUAUCUGCUGAAAAGAAAGCUGAGAUUGUAAACGAGUACAAAACUGCUGAA